Molecule: transfer RNA, 90 nt
Filed under: Camelus bactrianus (Bactrian camel)
Lineage: Eukaryota; Metazoa; Chordata; Mammalia; Artiodactyla; Camelidae
Also listed under: 2 other names
Rfam family: tRNA
About the family: Transfer RNA (tRNA) molecules are approximately 80 nucleotides in length. Their secondary structure includes four short double-helical elements and three loops (D, anti-codon, and T loops).
Source: Rfam by way of RNAcentral
GGAGAUAGCUCAGUGGUAGAGCGCAUGCUGAGCAUGCACAAGUAGAGCUUAGCGUGCACAAGGUCCUGGGUUCAAUCCCCAGUACCUCCA